RNAcentral lists this ribosomal RNA (695 nucleotides) under Chaetothyriales sp. RNAcentral describes it as "SSU rRNA". It matches the Rfam family "Eukaryotic small subunit ribosomal RNA", at positions 149 to 854 of the family's 1831-position model. Lineage: Eukaryota; Fungi; Ascomycota; Eurotiomycetes; Chaetothyriales. The record is from RNAcentral.
GUGGUAAUUCUAGAGCUAAUACAUGCUAAAAACCUCGACUUCGGAAGGGGUGUAUUUAUUAGAUAAAAAACCAAUGCCCUUCGGGGCUCCUUGGUGAUUCAUGAUAACUUAACGAAUCGCAUGGCCUUGCGCCGGCGAUGGUUCAUUCAAAUUUCUGCCCUAUCAACUUUCGAUGGUAGGAUAGUGGCCUACCAUGGUUUUAACGGGUAACGGGGAAUUAGGGUUCUAUUCCGGAGAGGGAGCCUGAGAAACGGCUACCACAUCCAAGGAAGGCAGCAGGCGCGCAAAUUACCCAAUCCCGACACGGGGAGGUAGUGACAAUAAAUACUGAUGGUGGGUUCUUUUGGAUCUACCAAUUGGAAUGAGUACAAUUUAAAUCCCUUAACGAGGAACAAUUGGAGGGCAAGUCUGGUGCCAGCAGCCGCGGUAAUUCCAGCUCCAAUAGCGUAUAUUAAAGUUGUUGCAGUUAAAAAGCUCGUAGUUGAACUUUGGGUCUGGCUGAUCUGUCCUCCUAAUCGAGCGCACGGAUUCGGUCGGACCUUUCCUUCUGGGGAACCCGAUGCCCUUCACUGGGCGUCGCGGGGAACCAGGACUUUUACCUUGAAAAAAUUAGAGUGUUCAAAGCAGGCCUUUGCUCGAAUACAUUAGCAUGGAAUAAUAGAAUAGGACAUCGGUUCUAUUUUGUUGGUUUCUAG